CCCCUUGUAGUUCAAAGGAUAGAACGAGGGACUUCUAAUCCCUAAAUCGAGGUUCGAUUCCUCGCAAGGGGACAA
This 75-nucleotide transfer RNA is filed under the name Candidatus Vogelbacteria bacterium. Its description in RNAcentral is "tRNA-Arg". It matches the Rfam family "tRNA". From Rfam's summary of the family: Transfer RNA (tRNA) molecules are approximately 80 nucleotides in length. Their secondary structure includes four short double-helical elements and three loops (D, anti-codon, and T loops). Further hydrogen bonds mediate the characteristic L-shaped molecular structure. tRNAs have two regions of fundamental functional importance: the anti-codon, which is responsible for specific mRNA codon recognition, and the 3' end, to which the tRNAs corresponding amino acid is attached (by aminoacyl-tRNA synthetases). tRNAs cope with the degeneracy of the genetic code in two manners: having more than one tRNA (with a specific anti-codon) for a particular amino acid; and 'wobble' base-pairing, i.e. permitting non-standard base-pairing at the 3rd anti-codon position. Lineage: Bacteria; Candidatus Vogeliibacteriota. The record is from RNAcentral.